AGAUUUGUGCCCGAAUUAUUAAGGGCCACUUUGAUAGAGUGAACCACGGGGGUUAGAAUCCCCCCAAAUCUU
Molecule: transfer RNA, 72 nt
Filed under: Solivomer arenidens
Lineage: Eukaryota; Metazoa; Chordata; Actinopteri; Myctophiformes; Neoscopelidae
Description: tRNA-Ile
Rfam family: tRNA
About the family: Transfer RNA (tRNA) molecules are approximately 80 nucleotides in length.
Source: RNAcentral